GACGAACGCUGGCGGCGUGCUUAAUACAUGCAAGUCAACUUGACUUUAGAUAGCAAUAUCGAAAAGUAGGGUGGCGCACGGGUGCGUAACGCGUAGGUAAUCUGCCCUGAGGUCUGACAUAACCCGUCGAAAGGCGGGCUAACAUCAGAUGAUAUAUAAUCACGACAUCGUGGAAAUAUCAAAUCUUCGGAGCCUUGGGAUGAGCCCUGCGUCUGAUUAGGUAGUUGGCGGAGUAAUAGCCCACCAAGCCUACGAUCAGUAGCUGGUCUGAGAGGAUGAUCAGCCACAC
This 289-nucleotide ribosomal RNA is filed under the name uncultured bacterium. RNAcentral describes it as "partial 16S ribosomal RNA". It matches the Rfam family "Bacterial small subunit ribosomal RNA", at positions 28 to 313 of the family's 1533-position model. The record is from RNAcentral.